AGGACGAACGCUGGCGGCGUGCUUAACACAUGCAAGUCGAGCGGAAAGGCCUUUCGGGGUACUCGAGCGGCGAACGGGUGAGUAACACGUGAGUAAUCUGCCCAUCGCUUCAGGAUAGCCAUCGGAAACGGUGAUUAAUACUGGAUAUGACAUUCCUUCGCAUGUUGGGGUGUGGAAAGUUUUUUCGGCGGUGGAUGUGCUCGCGGCCUAUCAGCUUGUUGGUGGGGUAAUGGCCUACCAAGGCUUUGACGGGUAGCCGGCCUGAGAGGGUGACCGGCCACGACUGGGACUGAGACACGGCCCAGGCCUCCGUACGGGAGGCAG
RNAcentral lists this ribosomal RNA (324 nucleotides) under uncultured soil bacterium. Its description in RNAcentral is "bacterial SSU rRNA". It matches the Rfam family "Bacterial small subunit ribosomal RNA", at positions 26 to 351 of the family's 1533-position model. The record is from RNAcentral.